RNAcentral lists this ribosomal RNA (503 nucleotides) under uncultured bacterium. Its description in RNAcentral is "partial 16S ribosomal RNA". It matches the Rfam family "Bacterial small subunit ribosomal RNA", at positions 28 to 523 of the family's 1533-position model. The record is from RNAcentral.
GAUGAACGCUAGCGACAGGCUUAACACAUGCAAGUCGAGGGGCAGCAUAGAAGUAGCAAUACUUUGGUGGCGACCGGCGCACGGGUGAGUAACGCGUAUGCAACCUACCUAUCAGAGGGGAAUAACCCGGCGAAAGUCGGACUAAUACCGCAUAAAACAGGGGCACCGCAUGGUGAUAUUUGUUAAAGAAAUUCGCUGAUAGAUGGGCAUGCGUUCCAUUAGGUAGUUGGUGAGGUAACGGCUCACCAAGCCGACGAUGGAUAGGGGAACUGGGCGGUUGGUCCCCCACACUGGUACUGAGACACGGACCAGACUCCUACGGAAGGCAGAAGUGAGGAAUAUUGGUCAAUGGGCGGGAGCCUGAACCAGCCAAGUCGCGUGAAGGAAGAAGGAUCUAUGGUUCGUAAACUUCUUUUGCAGGGGAAUAAAGUGCAGGACGUGUCCUGUUUUGUAUGUACCCUGAGAAUAAGGAUCGGCUAACUCCGUGCCAGCCGCCGCCGUAA